This 265-nucleotide ribosomal RNA is filed under the name uncultured bacterium. RNAcentral describes it as "partial 16S ribosomal RNA". It matches the Rfam family "Bacterial small subunit ribosomal RNA", at positions 338 to 600 of the family's 1533-position model. The record is from RNAcentral.
CCUACGGGACGCAGCAGUGAGGAAUAUUGGUCAAUGGCCGCAGGGCUGAACCAGCCAAGUCGCGUGAGGGAUGACGGUCCUAUGGAUUGUAAACCUCUUUUGUCAGGGAGCAAAGGGCGCCACGUGUGGCGUUUUGCGAGUACCUGAAGAAAAAGCAUCGGCUAACUCCGUGCCAGCAGCCGCGGUAAUACGUAGGUGGCAAGCGUUGUUCGGAAUAACUGGGCGUAAAGGAUGCGUAGGCGGUUAAACAAGUUAUAUGUUAAAU